Molecule: small RNA, 574 nt
Filed under: Arabidopsis thaliana (thale cress)
Lineage: Eukaryota; Viridiplantae; Streptophyta; Magnoliopsida; Brassicales; Brassicaceae
Description: ATSL163480
Source: RNAcentral
CCCUUAACUGCGUAGUUUUGAUGGGAUUCGAUGCAUUAGUGCUGGUAUGAUCGCAUCUGUUACUACAUGCAAUGUAAUCGUAUCUAUUCUUUUUUAAAGACUUUAUGAUCCAUUUGCCGUGGGUCCCACCAGCUAUGUAGGAAUACCCUAUCUUCUUUAUAAGAGCUUUGAUAUAUGCAAAAUAGUGGAAAACCAUGUCCGAACAUAUAAUUUUUCCCCUGUAAUAUAGCAAAGAUCAAGAAAAAGCCAAAAAAAGUAUAUUUAGGUCAAAAUUUGGAGUAGAAAAAAAAACAAUAGAAGAAUUCCAUUUUCCUUCCUCAGUCAUCGGAGAGCUCUCUUUCGGCUUUCCGAAAAGGUAUCAAAUGCCAAGUUUGGCCUCACGGUCUAAAAGUUAUAGAGUCAUACAUUUUUAACAAUACAAAGUAGAGAAAACCGGAAAAAAGAGGGAUGCAACAUGAGGACUUUCCGGGAGGUAAUCCAUCCUAGUACAACUCUUGCCCAAGCACCCUUAACUGCGGAGUUCUGAUGGAAUCCGGUGCAUUAGUGCUGGUAUGAUCGCAUGUGUUACUACAUG